Molecule: small RNA, 28 nt
Filed under: Bombyx mori (domestic silkworm)
Lineage: Eukaryota; Metazoa; Arthropoda; Insecta; Lepidoptera; Bombycidae
Description: piRNA piR-bmo-1359393
Source: RNAcentral
UAAAGUUGCUUCAUCGGUCCACAUAAUC